Dipodomys ordii (Ord's kangaroo rat) is the source of this 45-nucleotide non-coding RNA. The record is from Rfam. NCBI's taxonomy places the organism in Eukaryota, Metazoa, Chordata, Mammalia, Rodentia, Heteromyidae.
CCAACGGUUCUUUUCAGAGCCACCCACCGCCUCCGAGAAAGAGCG